This 62-nucleotide transfer RNA is filed under the name Musculium lacustre. RNAcentral's name for it is "tRNA-Ala". The record is from RNAcentral. Lineage: Eukaryota; Metazoa; Mollusca; Bivalvia; Venerida; Sphaeriidae.
GUAUAAAUACUUUAAAAAAAAGAUUAAAUUUGCAAUUUAAAAUUGGUGCAUACCUUUAUACU